AGGACCUAAACGAUCCAAAGUUUGACUAUCAGAUCAAAUCGAAUUCGAAGUGAUAGAAUCGAGAUUUCUUCAUCGAUUUCAUAAAAUCAAGUAAAGAGAGACAAUUAGAGGAGAGAGAAUUCAUGAGGUACAAUUUGAAUUGAUCAGGUGACACAAUCCAACAUUACGAUUGGUUCAAAAUCUCGAUUGGUGAAAUCAACAUGAUCAAAUCAAGUCAUGGCU
This 222-nucleotide long non-coding RNA is filed under the name Elaeis guineensis (African oil palm). Its description in RNAcentral is "long non-coding RNA (EGUI_LNC082568)". The record is from RNAcentral. Lineage: Eukaryota; Viridiplantae; Streptophyta; Magnoliopsida; Arecales; Arecaceae.